CCUACGGGUGGCAGCAGUGGGGGAUAUUGCACAAUGGGGGAAACCCUGAUGCAGCGACGCCGCGUGAGUGAAGAAGUAUUUCGGUAUGUAAAGCCCUAUCAGCAGGGAAGAAAAUGACAGUACCUGACCAAGAAGCCCCGGCUAACUACGUGCCAGCAGCCGCUGUAAUACGUAGGGGGCAAGCGUUAACCGGAUUUACUGGGGUUAAAGGGAGCGUAAGCGGUUAUGUAAGUCUGGAGUGAAAGCCCGGGGCCCAACCCCGGGACUGCCUUGGAAACUGUGUGACUGGAGUACAGGAGGGGCAGGCGGAAUGCGUGGUGUAGCGGUGAAAUGCGUAGAUAUCAGGAGGAACACCGACGGCGAAGGCGGCCUGCUGGAGUGAUACUGACGUUGAGGCACGAAAGCGUGGGGAGCGAACAGGAUUAGAUACCCGAGUAGUC
RNAcentral lists this ribosomal RNA (440 nucleotides) under uncultured bacterium. RNAcentral's name for it is "partial 16S ribosomal RNA". It matches the Rfam family "Bacterial small subunit ribosomal RNA", at positions 338 to 795 of the family's 1533-position model. The record is from RNAcentral.